RNAcentral lists this ribosomal RNA (601 nucleotides) under uncultured fungus. RNAcentral's name for it is "eukaryotic LSU rRNA". It matches the Rfam family "Eukaryotic large subunit ribosomal RNA", at positions 37 to 652 of the family's 3401-position model. The record is from RNAcentral. Lineage: Eukaryota; Fungi.
AGCAUAUCAAUAAGCGGAGGAAAAGAAACCAACAGGGAUUGCCUCAGUAACGGCGAGUGAAGCGGCAAUAGCUCAAAUUUGAAAUCUGGAGCCUUCGGCUUCCGAGUUGUAAUUUGAAGAGGAUGUUUCGGUUGCGGCCUGGGCCUAAGUUCCUUGGAACAGGAUGUCAUGGAGGGUGAGAAUCCCGUACAUGGCUGCAGGUUUGCUUCUAUGUGAAACUCCUUCGAAGAGUCGAGUUGUUUGGGAAUGCAGCUCAAAAUGGGUGGUAAAUUUCAUCUAAAGCUAAAUAUUGGCGGGAGACCGAUAGCGCACAAGUAGAGUGAUCGAAAGAUGAAAAGCACUUUGAAAAGAGAGUUAAACAGUACGUGAAAUUGUUGAAAGGGAAGCGCUUGCAAUCAGACUCGCUUUCGGUUGAUCAACGUUCCUUCUGGUUCGUGCACUCUGCCGUUUGCGGGCCAGCAUCAGUUGGGGCGGCGGGACAAAGUCGGUGGGAAUGUGGCUCCCCUCGGGGAGUGUUAUAGCCCACCGUGCCAUGCCGCCAGCCCCGAUUGAGGUCUGCGGUUCGCCUAGGAUGCUGGCUUAAUGGUUGUAAGCGACCCGU